GGAGGUAUAGCUCAGUGGCCGAGUGUGAGCCUAGCAUGUGCAAGGUCCUGGGUUCAAUCCCCAGUACCUGCA
RNAcentral lists this transfer RNA (72 nucleotides) under Camelus bactrianus (Bactrian camel). It matches the Rfam family "tRNA". Rfam says of the family: Transfer RNA (tRNA) molecules are approximately 80 nucleotides in length. Their secondary structure includes four short double-helical elements and three loops (D, anti-codon, and T loops). Further hydrogen bonds mediate the characteristic L-shaped molecular structure. tRNAs have two regions of fundamental functional importance: the anti-codon, which is responsible for specific mRNA codon recognition, and the 3' end, to which the tRNAs corresponding amino acid is attached (by aminoacyl-tRNA synthetases). tRNAs cope with the degeneracy of the genetic code in two manners: having more than one tRNA (with a specific anti-codon) for a particular amino acid; and 'wobble' base-pairing, i.e. permitting non-standard base-pairing at the 3rd anti-codon position. RNAcentral also lists the same sequence under 2 other names. The record is from Rfam by way of RNAcentral. Lineage: Eukaryota; Metazoa; Chordata; Mammalia; Artiodactyla; Camelidae.